This 502-nucleotide ribosomal RNA is filed under the name uncultured bacterium. RNAcentral's name for it is "partial 16S ribosomal RNA". It matches the Rfam family "Bacterial small subunit ribosomal RNA", at positions 29 to 523 of the family's 1533-position model. The record is from RNAcentral.
AUUGAACGCUGGCGGAAUGCUUUACACAUGCAAGUCGAACGGCAGCACGGGUGCUUGCACCUGGUGGCGAGUGGCGAACGGGUGUGUAAUACAUCGGAACGUACCCAGUCGUGGGGGAUAACGUAGCGAAAGUUACGCUAAUACCGCAUACGUCCUGAGGGAGAAAGCGGGGGACCGUAAGGCCCCGCGCGAUUGGACCGGCCGAUGGCGGAUUAGCGAGUUGGUGGGGUAAAGGCCUACCAAGGCGACGAUACGUAGCGGGUCUGAGAGGACGGCCCGCCACACUGGAACUGAGACACGGUCCAGACUCCUACGGGAGGCAGCAGUGGGGAAUUUUGGACAAUGGGCGAAAGCCUGAUCCAGCCAUUCCGCGUGAGUGAAGAAGGCCUUCGGGUUGUAAAGCUCUUUCGGCAGGGAAGAAACGGCUUGGGAUAAUACCCCGGGCUAAUGACGGUACCUGAAGAAGAAGCACCGGCUAACUACGUGCCAGCCGCCGCGGUAA